This 745-nucleotide ribosomal RNA is filed under the name Bacillus sp. (in: firmicutes). RNAcentral describes it as "bacterial SSU rRNA". It matches the Rfam family "Bacterial small subunit ribosomal RNA", at positions 37 to 764 of the family's 1533-position model. Lineage: Bacteria; Bacillati; Bacillota; Bacilli; Caryophanales; Bacillaceae. The record is from RNAcentral.
UAGCAAUGCGCAGCUAUACAUGCAGUCGAGCGGACAGAUGGGAAGCUAGCUCCCUGAAGUCAGCGGCGGACGGGUGAGUAACACGUGGGCAACCUGCCUGUAAGACUGGGAUAACUCCGGGAAACCGGGGCUAAUACCGGAUAAUUCUUUCCCUCACAUGAGGGAAAGCUGAAAGAUGGUUUCGGCUAUCACUUACAGAUGGGCCCGCGGCGCAUUAGCUAGUUGGUGAGGUAACGGCUCACCAAGGCGACGAUGCGUAGCCGACCUGAGAGGGUGAUCGGCCACACUGGGACUGAGACACGGCCCAGACUCCUACGGGAGGCAGCAGUAGGGAAUCUUCCGCAAUGGACGAAAGUCUGACGGAGCAACGCCGCGUGAGUGAUGAAGGUUUUCGGAUCGUAAAACUCUGUUGUUAGGGAAGAACAAGUACCGGAGUAACUGCCGGUACCUUGACGGUACCUAACCAGAAAGCCACGGCUAACUACGUGCCAGCAGCCGCGGUAAUACGUAGGUGGCAAGCGUUGUCCGGAAUUAUUGGGCGUAAAGCGCGCGCAGGCGGUUCCUUAAGUCUGAUGUGAAAGCCCCCGGCUCAACCGGGGAGGGUCAUUGGAAACUGGGGAACUUGAGUGCAGAAGAGAAGAGUGGAAUUCCACGUGUAGCGGUGAAAUGCGUAGAGAUGUGGAGGAACACCAGUGGCGAAGGCGACUCUUUGGUCUGUAACUGACGCUGAGGCGCGAAAGCGUGG